This 468-nucleotide ribosomal RNA is filed under the name uncultured bacterium. Its description in RNAcentral is "partial 16S ribosomal RNA". It matches the Rfam family "Bacterial small subunit ribosomal RNA", at positions 28 to 507 of the family's 1533-position model. The record is from RNAcentral.
GACGAACGCUGGCGGCGUGCUUAACACAUGCAAGUCGAACGGAAAGGCCCUGCUUUUGUGGGGUGCUCGAGUGGCGAACGGGUGAGUAACACGUGAGUAACCUGCCCUUGACUUUGGGGUAACUUCAGGAAACUGGGGCUAAUACCGGAUAGGAGCUCCUGCUGCAUGGUGGGGGUUGGAAAGUUUGGGCGGUUGGGGAUGGACUCGCGGCUUAUCAGCUUGUUGGUGGGGUAGUGGCUUACCAAGGCUUUGACGGGUAGCCGGCCUGAGAGGGUGACCGGGCACCUUACGACUGCGAUACGGCGCAGAAUCCAACGGGAGGCAGUGGUGGGAAACCUUGCGCAGUGGGCGCGAGCGUGAUACGGAGACGCCGCGUGCGGGAUGACGGCCUUCGGGUUGUGAACAGCUUUCGACUGUGACGACGCGUGAGUGACGGUACUGAGUAAAGAAGCACCGGCUAACUACGUG